This 497-nucleotide ribosomal RNA is filed under the name uncultured bacterium. Its description in RNAcentral is "partial 16S ribosomal RNA". It matches the Rfam family "Bacterial small subunit ribosomal RNA", at positions 28 to 507 of the family's 1533-position model. The record is from RNAcentral.
GAUGAACGCUGGCGGCGUGCCUAAUACAUGCAAGUCGAGCGAACGGACGAGAAGCUUGCUUCUCUGAUGUUAGCGGCGGACGGGUGAGUAACACGUGGAUAACCUACCUAUAAGACUGGGAUAACUUCGGGAAACCGUAGCUAAUACCGGAUAAUAUUUUGAACCGCAUGGUUCAAAAGUGAAAGACGGUCUUGCUGUCACUUAUAGAUGGAUCCGCGCUGCAUUAGCUAGUUGGUAAGGUAACGGCUUACCAAGGCAACGAUGCAUAGCCGACCUGAGAGGGGGAACGGCCACACUGGAACUGAGACACGGUCCAGACUCCUACGGGAGGCAGCAGUAGGGAAUCUUCCGCAAUGGGCGAAAGCCUGACGGAGCAACGCCGCGUGAGUGAUGAAGGUCUUCGGAUCGUAAAACUCUGUUAUUAGGGAAGAACAUAUGUGUAAGUAACUGUGCACAUCUUGACGGUACCUAAUCAGAAAGCCACGGCUAACUACGUG